CAUGCAAGUCGAGCGGAAACGAUCCUAGCUUGCUAGGAGGCGUCGAGCGGCGGACGGGUGAGUAAUGCAUAGGAAUCUGCCCGGUAGUGGGGGAUAACCUGAGGAAACUCAGGCUAAUACCGCAUACGUCCUACGGGAGAAAGCAGGGGCUCUUCGGACCUUGCGCUAUCGGAUGAGCUUAUGUCGGAUUAGCUGGUUGGUGAGGUAACGGCUCACCAAGGCGACGAUCCGUAGCUGGUCUGAGAGGAUGAUCAGCCACAUCGGGACUGAGACACGGCCCGAACUCCUACGGGAGGCAGCAGUGGGGAAUAUUGGACAAUGGGGGCAACCCUGAUCCAGCCAUGCCGCGUGUGUGAAGAAGGCCCUCGGGUUGUAAAGCACUUUCAGCGA
RNAcentral lists this ribosomal RNA (390 nucleotides) under Halomonas caseinilytica. RNAcentral's name for it is "bacterial SSU rRNA". It matches the Rfam family "Bacterial small subunit ribosomal RNA", at positions 54 to 442 of the family's 1533-position model. Lineage: Bacteria; Pseudomonadati; Pseudomonadota; Gammaproteobacteria; Oceanospirillales; Halomonadaceae. The record is from RNAcentral.